AUGCAAGUCGAACGGAAAGGCCCUUCGGGGUACUCGAGUGGCGAACGGGUGAGUAACACGUGGGUGAUCUGCCCUGCACUUGGGAUAAGCCUGGGAAACUGGGUCUAAUACCGAAUACACCCUUCUGGCUGCAUGGUCUGGGAGGGGAAAGCUUUUGCGGUGUGGGAUGGGCCCGCGGCCUAUCAGCUUGUUGGUGAGGUUACGGCUCACCAAGGCGACGACGGGUAGCCGGCCUGAGAGGGUGACCGGCCACACUGGGACUGAGAUACGGCCCAGACUCCUACGGGAGGCAGCAGUGGGGAAUAUUGCACAAUGGGCGCAAGCCUGAUGCAGCGACGCCGCGUGAGGGAUGACGGCCUUCGGGUUGUAAACCUCUUUCGCCAGGGACGAAGCGCAAGUGACGGUACCUGGAGAAGAAGGACCGGCCAACUACGUGCCAGCAGCCGCGGUAAUACGUAGGGUCCGAGCGUUGUCCGGAAUUACUGGGCGUAAAGAGCUCGUAGGUGGUUUGUCGCGUUGUCCGUGAAAACUCACAGCUCAACUGUGGGCGUGCGGGCGAUACGGGCAGACUGGAGUACUGCAGGGGAGACUGGAAUUCCUGGUGUAGCGGUGGAAUGCGCAGAUAUCAGGAGGAACACCGGUGGCGAAGGCGGGUCUCUGGGCAGUAACUGACGCUGAGGAGCGAAAGCGUGGGGAGCGAACAGGAUUAGAUACCCUGGUAGUCCACGCCGUAAACGGUGGGUACUAGGUGUGGGUUUCCUUCCUUGGGAUCCGUGCCGUAGCUAACGCAUUAAGUACCCCGCCUGGGGAGUACGGCCGCAAGGCUAAAACUCAAAGAAAUUGACGGGGGCCCGCACAAGCGGCGGAGCAUGUGGAUUAAUUCGAUGCAACGCGAAGAACCUUACCUGGGUUUGACAUGCACAGGACGCCGGCAGAGAUGUCGGUUCCCUUGUGGCCUGUGUGCAGGUGGUGCAUGGCUGUCGUCAGCUCGUGUCGUGAGAUGUUGGGUUAAGUCCCGCACCGAGCGCAACCCUUAUCUUAUGUUGCCAGCGCGUAAUGGCGGGGACUCGUGAGAGACUGCCGGGGUCAACUCGGAGGAAGGUGGGGAUGACGUCAAGUCAUCAUGCCCCUUAUGUCCAGGGCUUCACACAUGCUACAAUGGCCGGUACAAAGGGCUGCGAUGCCGUAGGUGGAGCGAAUCCUUUCAAAGCCGGUCUCAGUUCGGAUCGGGGUCUGCAACUCGACCCCGUGAAGUCGGAGUCGCUAGUAAUCGCAGAUCAGCAACGCUGCGGUGAAUACGUUCCCGGGCCUUGUACACACCGCCCGUCACGUCAUGAAAGUCGGUAACACCCGAAGCCGGUGGCCUAACCC
RNAcentral lists this ribosomal RNA (1371 nucleotides) under Mycobacterium sp. CO135. RNAcentral describes it as "16S ribosomal RNA". It matches the Rfam family "Bacterial small subunit ribosomal RNA". Lineage: Bacteria; Bacillati; Actinomycetota; Actinomycetes; Mycobacteriales; Mycobacteriaceae. The record is from RNAcentral.